Hyposmocoma kahamanoa is the source of this 847-nucleotide long non-coding RNA. RefSeq lists it as uncharacterized. The record is from RefSeq and is a predicted model, not a curated record. Lineage: Eukaryota; Metazoa; Arthropoda; Insecta; Lepidoptera; Cosmopterigidae. The transcript is spliced from 3 exons.
UUGUCGAUGUAUACCGAACUGAUUGCAGUCACGCUCAAGCCCGACUUUUACACAAAUUAAAUGACCACCACGUGCUUCCUGAAUAUAUAAACAAAAUGAAGGCAUUCAAACAACAUUACUUUUAUUAGAUAAGACUGUGGCAGCUGCUCUAUCAUAUACUUCUCAGUUUUCUCAUUACUCAGACGACCGUGAAGUUGGUAAGACCAUAAAGAAUACAGCUGAAACUGUAUCGUUUUUCGACGACGUCUUUGAUUCUACCAACGGAGCCACACUCAAUCAUAUAAAAUGAAAAGGAAAAAAUCUCAGGAAAGCAGUUACACAAAAUUCGCUACACCACGCCUUUUGGAACGAAGCCAUAAAACAAUUAGAAAAUAUGAAAUUUUGUUGGCCAACAGAGUGAGUAGGUUACCCGUGCGAGUGUACCUUUAUUAAAAAAACUGGGUUACAACACUCAACAGUUUUAAAAGAUUGGGGCAAUUUUUUAAGGAGAAAAAUAUAAAAAUAAUGCGCACGAGACAUUUUAAUUCAGACCCAAUAGAAAACUUUUUCGGUCAAGUGCGCGCCUAUAAUUUUGGAAAUAACGAUUCGGAUUGCCACACUUUAUAAACACAUUUCGAUCUCUAUUGAUUACUCGUUCAUAAAGUUUCAUUCGGAAACCUAUAAUUGCGAAGUUGAUUCGGGUAAUCAAUUGAUCAAUGUACAAAAUCUAUUUAAAGAAACGGAGGUCGAAAAUGUUACUGAGGAUGUUUGUACUGGAACUACUAAUGUAUGAAAUGUUGAAUUUGAAAAUAUUUACGUGCAAGCGUGUCGUGAAAAUUUACACGUACACUCACGUGCAUACACUGCG